UAUUUUUGAAAAGAAAUAGAC
RNAcentral lists this non-coding RNA (21 nucleotides) under Caenorhabditis elegans. The record is from RNAcentral. Lineage: Eukaryota; Metazoa; Nematoda; Chromadorea; Rhabditida; Rhabditidae.